Molecule: transfer RNA, 86 nt
Filed under: Staphylococcus aureus
Lineage: Bacteria; Bacillati; Bacillota; Bacilli; Caryophanales; Staphylococcaceae
Description: tRNA-Leu
Rfam family: tRNA
About the family: Transfer RNA (tRNA) molecules are approximately 80 nucleotides in length.
Source: RNAcentral
GCGGUCAUGGCGGAAUGGCAGAAGCGCUAGGUUGAGGGCCUAGCGGGAGAAAUCCCGUGGAGGGUCAAAUCCUCUCGGCCGCCUCA